AACAAAUAAACGCAAUUGCAUCAAUUAUCAAAAUUGAUGCUCGAGAAAAAUAAGAAAUACAUAAUAUAUAUCAAUAUUUAUAUAUAUAUAUGUAUAUAUAGAUAUAUGAUA
This is a long non-coding RNA of Drosophila navojoa, 111 nucleotides long. Lineage: Eukaryota; Metazoa; Arthropoda; Insecta; Diptera; Drosophilidae. The record is from RefSeq and is a predicted model, not a curated record.